GUCCGAGUCCUCAAGCCUGAGAUCCUCCGCCACCGCCAGCCCAGAGAGCGCCCUGUCGCUGCAGGUUUCAAAGGAUCAACAGCGAGAAACAAGGCAGCCUAUGAGAGUAGACGGAGCCAAGGAGCCCACGCCGGAGCUGCCCUCCUUCAAGAUCCCGUCUUGGGAGUUGGACCUGGAGAACCUCAUGCCCCUGUACCUGCUGCCAUGCAGCCACCAGAAUGUGCUGUCCAGGGAGGACACCCCCUCUGGGGGCCAGCAGAGCCCGGGUGGGGCGCCCGCCACCUCCAGCAAUGAGCCACGAGAGGAGCAGGCCGCCCAGGGCCCGUGCUGUCUCCAGGACAGCCAGCCUCCAGAGGCGACACUGGAGGUGGCUCAUGCCAGCGUCGCUCCGUUAGGCCAGGCUGAGGACCCGCCCGCAGCUCAGGGAGAGACCGGGGUCCCCCUGCGUACCCCCAGGGAAGCCCGUGAUCAUGACGCCUGAUGGCCUGGAGGGGCUCGCCACUGUGCUCAGAGGGCAGUGCAUCCUCAAAUGUCCCUGGCUGUCCCUCCUCCUGCGCAGACACCAGGGGUGCCUGGCAGCCUGUUCCUGCAGAGGGUAGCCCGGGCUCUGGCUGCGGAAAGUCAGGCCAAAGAAGGGAACCGAGCGCCUCCUCAGAUCCUGGCCACGCGGAAGCCUUCCCUGAAACUUGCAUCUCGCUCAGCGUGGAAGCCACGUUGUAAAGGCUCGGACAGUUUCCCAAACACGCCCACAUGUUGUGCGGGGACUAAGGGUGGACCUGGGAUGCUGUUUUCACUUGUGUUGAUUAGCAAUGGUAACUGUUAGGGACUUAAGCAGCUUUUAAGGAAAUUCUUCAGAACUUCUUAGGAAGUUGUAUUUUAGGAAAUAAUAGAAAUUAAUUUUAUUGGCAAUAAACUUUAAAUCGGUCUUGGUAAAUUUUACAUUCUUGGGCUUUGGGUGGUCUUUUGGGGGG
Molecule: long non-coding RNA, 971 nt
Filed under: Zalophus californianus (California sea lion)
Lineage: Eukaryota; Metazoa; Chordata; Mammalia; Carnivora; Otariidae
Description: lncRNA (ENSZCAG00015017394.1)
Source: RNAcentral